RNAcentral lists this ribosomal RNA (507 nucleotides) under uncultured bacterium. Its description in RNAcentral is "partial 16S ribosomal RNA". It matches the Rfam family "Bacterial small subunit ribosomal RNA", at positions 28 to 507 of the family's 1533-position model. The record is from RNAcentral.
GACGAACGCUGGCGGCGUGCCUAAUACAUGCAAGUCGAACGCAUUUUCUUUCACCGUAGCUUGCUACACCGAAAGAAAAUGAGUGGCGAACGGGUGAGUAACACGUGGGUAACCUGCCCAUCAGCGGGGGAUAACACUUGGAAACAGGUGCUAAUACCGCAUAAUUCCAUUUACCGCAUGGUAAAUGGAUGAAAGGCGCUUUUGCGUCACUGAUGGAUGGACCCGCGGUGCAUUAGCUAGUUGGUGGGGUAACGGCCUACCAAGGCUGCGAUGCAUAGCCGACCUGAGAGGGUGAUCGGCCACCCUGGGACUGAGACACGGCCCAGACUCCUACGGGAGGCAGCAGUAGGGAAUCUUCGGCAAUGGACGCAAGUCUGACCGAGCAACGCCGCGUGAGUGAAGAAGGUUUUCGGAUUGUAAAACUCUGUUGUUAGAGAAGAACAAGGAUGAGAGUGGAAAGUUCAUCCCUUGACGGUAUCUAACCAGAAAGCCACGGCUAACUACGUG